UGGGGAAUAUUGGACAAUGGGCGCAAGCCUGAUCCAGCCAUGCCGCGUGAGUGAUGAAGGCCCUAGGGUUGUAAAGCUCUUUCAACGGUGAAGAUAAUGACGGUAACCGUAGAAGAAGCCCCGGCUAACUUCGUGCCAGCAGCCGCGGUAAUACGAAGGGGGCUAGCGUUGUUCGGAAUUACUGGGCGUAAAGCGCACGUAGGCGGAUAUUUAAGUUAGGGGUGAAAUCCCAGGGCUCAACCCUGGAACUGCCUUUAAUACUGGGUAUCUCGAGUUCGAGAGAGGUAAGUGGAAUUCCGAGUGUAGAGGUGAAAUUCGUAGAUAUUCGGAGGAACACCAGUGGCGAAGGCGGCUUACUGGCUCGAUACUGACGCUGAGGUGCGAAAGCGUGGGGAGCAAACAGG
This 404-nucleotide ribosomal RNA is filed under the name uncultured prokaryote. RNAcentral's name for it is "bacterial SSU rRNA". It matches the Rfam family "Bacterial small subunit ribosomal RNA", at positions 355 to 776 of the family's 1533-position model. RNAcentral also lists the same sequence under 1 other name. The record is from RNAcentral.